Molecule: ribosomal RNA, 497 nt
Filed under: uncultured bacterium
Lineage: Bacteria
Description: partial 16S ribosomal RNA
Rfam family: Bacterial small subunit ribosomal RNA
Source: RNAcentral
GAUGAACGCUGGCGGCGUGCCUAAUACAUGCAAGUCGAGCGCACGGACGAGAAGCUUGCUUCUCUGAUGUUAGCGGCGGACGGGUGAGUAACACGUGGAUAACCUACCUAUAAGACUGGGAUAACUUCGGGAAACCGGAGCUAAUACCGGAUAAUAUUUUGAACCGCAUGGUUCAAAAGUGAAAGACGGUCUUGCUGUCACUUAUAGAUGGAUCCGCGCUGCAUUAGCUAGUUGGUAAGGUAACGGCUUACCAAGGCAACGAUGCAUAGCCGACCUGAGAGGGUGAUCGGCCACACUGGUACUGAGACACGGUCCAGACUCCUACGGGAGGCAGCAGUAGGGAAUCUUCCGCAAUGGGCGAAAGCCUGACGGAGCAACGCCGCGUGAGUGAUGAAGGUCUUCGGAUCGUAAAACUCUUUUAUUAGGGAAGAACAUAUGUGUAAGUAACUGUGCACAUCUUGACGGUACCUAAUCAGAAAGCCACGGCUAACUACGUG